This 253-nucleotide ribosomal RNA is filed under the name uncultured bacterium. RNAcentral's name for it is "partial 16S ribosomal RNA". It matches the Rfam family "Bacterial small subunit ribosomal RNA", at positions 524 to 776 of the family's 1533-position model. The record is from RNAcentral.
UACGUAGGGGGCAAGCGUUGUCCGGAUUUAUUGGGCGUAAAGAGCGUGUAGGCGGCCAGGUAGGUCCGUUGUGAAAACUGGAGGCUCAACCUCCAGCGGUUGAUGGAAACCAUCUGGCUAGAGUCCGGAAGAGGAGAGUGGAAUUCCUGGUGUAGCGGUGAAAUGCGCAGAUAUCAGGAAGAACACCCGUGGCGAAGGCGGCUCUCUGGGACGGUACUGACGCUGAGACGCGAAAGCGUGGGGAGCAAACAGG